Molecule: ribosomal RNA, 495 nt
Filed under: uncultured bacterium
Lineage: Bacteria
Description: partial 16S ribosomal RNA
Rfam family: Bacterial small subunit ribosomal RNA
Source: RNAcentral
GACGAACGCUGGCGGCGUGCCUAAUACAUGCAAGUAGAACGCUGACGGCGGAGCUUGCUUCUCUGGAUGAGUUGCGAACGGGUGACUAACGCUUAGGUAACCUGCCUGGUAGCGGGGGAUAACUAUUGGCAACGAUAGCUCAUACCGCAUAAGAGUAGAUGUUGCAUGACAUUUGCUUAAAAGGUGCAAUUGCUUCACUACCAGUUGGCUCUGCGUUGUAUUAGCUAGUGGGUGGGGUAACGGCUCACCAAGGCCACGAUACAUAGCCGACCUGAGAGGGUGAUCGGCAAAACUGGGACUGAGACACGGCCCAGACUCCUAGGGGAGGCAGCAGUAGGGAAUCUUCGGCAAUGGACGGAAGUCUGACCGAGCGACGCCGCGUGAGUGAAGAAGGUAGUCAGGUCGUAAAGCUCUGGAGUAAGUGAGGAACGUAAGGGAGAGUGGAAAGUUCACACUGUGACGGUAUCUUAACAAAAAGGGACGGCUAACUACGUG